RNAcentral lists this long non-coding RNA (347 nucleotides) under Nicotiana benthamiana. RNAcentral's name for it is "long non-coding RNA (NBEN_LNC008726)". The record is from RNAcentral. Lineage: Eukaryota; Viridiplantae; Streptophyta; Magnoliopsida; Solanales; Solanaceae.
CUUCCGAUCACCGGAAAAGUGUAGGGUCCCGGCGGGAGUUUCUUGUUUUUCUGAUUGGAUUUGGAAUUGGAGGAGAUAAGAUUAAAGAGGGAUUUGAGGAAGAAAUAGAUGCAGAGAGUGACGAUGCUGACAAACCAGGUUUCCAUGAUUUUUUACUUUGACGACUCUCCAGAAGGGAGAUAAGAUUAAAGAGGGACUUGAGGAAGAAAGAGAUGCAGAGAGUGACGACGAUGACAAACCAGGUUUCCAUGAUUUUUCACUUUGACGACUCUCCAGAAUUAACAGUACUUCUAUCUACAUAUAAUAUACCAAACUACCUUAAGUUAAUCCUAAACUUAAUUACCGUU